Molecule: long non-coding RNA, 466 nt
Filed under: Androctonus crassicauda
Lineage: Eukaryota; Metazoa; Arthropoda; Arachnida; Scorpiones; Buthidae
Source: RNAcentral
AUUAUAACAAAUACUGUUAUAACAAAAUUUCCAAUAUAACAAAGCCUCCACACACAACCUAUAAAAAACAAUGCUAGAAGAAUCUCAUUAUGACAAAAUCUGUUGUUACAAAAAAUUCACUGUAAUGAACCUUUUCUAGAAACCCUAACAUUCAAAAAAUUGCUAUAUAAUGAAAUUUUGAGUUCAAGAAACUUCCUCAGUCCUUUCUAUGAUCAACAGUCAUUAUGAAGCUAACUCUUCCAGAACAUUCCAAAUCACUUCCUAAUGGGGUGGAAUGUUUGCAAAGUGGCAGUGUUUAAAUAUCUGAACACUAGAUUAACUCAGUCUUUUACUGUAUACAUUCAUAAAGUCAUUGAUUCUAACAUACACUCCACAUUCAAACAAAAACGCCACCAGUUUUCUAUGAAGGAAAAGUUAAACAUUAUUGCUGCUGUUGAUUUUGGAAAAAAAGAUAGUUACCUGUGGC